AAAAAAAAAAAAAAACAAUAAAAUUAUUAUCAUUAUCAAAUAGUAUUAAAAAUCAAAAACCUUUGUGUCCCUUUCUCUCUCUUGUCUUUCUCUCACUUCACCCCUCCACGAUUUCCUCUUCUUCCUUUGUACUACCACCUCCAUCUUUUCCUUUCUUUUUUCCCAAAGAUAUCACCUUUUUCUUUCACACUCCAAACCCUUUUGUUUUCCCACCUCAAAUUUCCAUCUACAAUCAAGAUUCUCUCAAUUCUUAA
Vicia faba (fava bean) is the source of this 254-nucleotide non-coding RNA. Lineage: Eukaryota; Viridiplantae; Streptophyta; Magnoliopsida; Fabales; Fabaceae. The record is from the annotation of a GenBank genome assembly.